This 501-nucleotide ribosomal RNA is filed under the name uncultured Glomeromycotina. RNAcentral's name for it is "partial small subunit ribosomal RNA". It matches the Rfam family "Eukaryotic small subunit ribosomal RNA", at positions 591 to 1092 of the family's 1831-position model. The record is from RNAcentral. Lineage: Eukaryota; Fungi; Glomeromycota.
CCAAUAGCGUAUAUUAAAAUUGUUGCAGUUAAAAAGCUCGUAGUUGAACCUUAGGCCCGUGCGGAUGGUCCGUCCUCAGGGCGAGCACUGCCUCGUUGCGGGUCUCACCUUCUGGCGAGCGUGGAUGCCAUUCACUUGGUGUCCGCGGGAACCAGGACCUUUACCUUGAAAAAAUUAGAGUGCUCAAAGCGGGCUCGUACGCUUGAAUACAUUAGCAUGGAAUAAUGAAAUAGGACGACGGUUCUAUUUUGUUGGUUUCCGGGACAGUCGUAAUGAUUAAUAGGGAUAGUUGGGGGCAUUCGUAUUCAAUUGUCAGAGGUGAAAUUCUUGGAUUUAUUGAAGACGAACUACUGCGAAAGCAUUUGCAAAGGAUGUUUUCAUUAAUCAAGAACGAAAGUUGGGGGAUCGAAGACGAUCAGAUACCGUCGUAGUCUCAACCAUAAACUAUGCCGACUGGGAAUCGGGCGAUGUUAUUUUUCGUGACUCGCUCGGCGCCCCGAG